GUUCUCUCUUCAGCAGCAUAUAUAGUAAAAUUGGAACAAUACAGGGGAGAUUAGCAUGAAUGUGCACAAGGAUGACACACAAAUUUGUAAAAUUCAUUGAAAUUUU
This is a small nuclear RNA of Suricata suricatta (meerkat), 106 nucleotides long. NCBI's taxonomy places the organism in Eukaryota, Metazoa, Chordata, Mammalia, Carnivora, Herpestidae. The record is from Ensembl.